This is a long non-coding RNA of Micropterus salmoides (largemouth bass), 1682 nucleotides long. RefSeq lists it as uncharacterized. NCBI's taxonomy places the organism in Eukaryota, Metazoa, Chordata, Actinopteri, Centrarchiformes, Centrarchidae. The record is from RefSeq and is a predicted model, not a curated record. The transcript is spliced from 2 exons.
GUCUUCACUUCAAAUUAAAAGCUUGUUGGUGUCUGAAGUUCAUAACUCUGUGUGUGUGUGUGUCUCAGGAGGCGGUCUCCAGUGUUUGGGUUGUAAUGUAGGCGGUGGGCGUGGCCGGGGGCGGGGCUACGUGGAGCUGGGCUGCGGCCAACCAGAAACCAUCAACUGCAGUCGAACAGAGAGAGGAUUCAAACUGCGAUUCUGCAUCACGACGUACAGCAAGUCCCUGGACCUGGUCUUGUCUCGGGGAUGCGCGACGUCUCGUCACUGUCAGCAGACGGAGCUUCCCGGAGUGUCGGUCGCUUGCUGCGAUUGGUCGCUGUGUAAUGUCGGGUGGCGGUGGGCGGGGUCGCUCGCUACCGUGAUCCUCAGCUUCAUCACCGGCGGCUGGUUUCCUCUGCGGGAUCUGGCGGCACGCUGAGAACUGAUCCUGGAUCCGUGCCGGGCCGCAGGCUGGAGGCGGAACAGCUGCAGGUGUUCGUCUUUAUUAUUUCUCUGUGUCUGACGCUGCAGAGAGUUUACAGAAGCAAGAGACUCAGCAUUUAACAGCUCUGACCUUUUCCUUUGGGUCAGCACUCACAUUACUCCCUGAACACAGAAAUCCCACACGUGCCAUCAUGAAACCCUGUAGCCGGCUGGGUUGUGUGCUCGUUUGAUCUGCUUUUGGCGCCGACCUGAGUGCGGCCGCUGCGUUCACACCUGCCGGCCGCACCGAGGGGGAAACGACCUUUGGUGCGACUCAACAGAAGUAAGUGAGGCAGCUGGGAAAAGGCCCCCUGAGGCUGUGUUUAAUUUAAUCCUCGCGCGGGUUUUUAUCUCUGGACAACCGAACACUGACAACGCCAAUAAACACAACGUGCAAAUAACUCCAGCUGUAUGAACCCAAAGGAAACAUGCUGCUGUGGUUAAAUAACAAUAAACGGAUCAAACUGAUGCUGAAAUAACAUGAUGCAGAUCUGUUAAACAUGCUUUGUCAGCAGGACAGCAGCUGUUAAACCGUUUGUUUUCUGAAUGGAGUUUGGUUCGAUCAGGGCUACGUUACGUUAACCUGUUCACAGUAAAGUACAACCACAGCUGGAAUAAAGUUACAGACACACGUUUUCUGAACUCACCAGGUAGUUCAGCUUCCUCGCUUUCUUUUCUCCAGCAAUGUCCACUUUUCAGGUUUUUAUAUAAAUAGUCCUGCAGCGCUAACGACAGCAACAGUGGAACCGGAUGUGCACGGAAGCUCCAGUGAAGAUAAAUCAGCGUUUAAAACCCGAAAACUAAAGUAAAAAGCUGAUUUAAUGAAAGCAGUUUAACUCUGAGCUGCUCUCGCGGGUAAACGGCUCAGCUGUCCAGAUUCUGCUCUGCACUUUCCCGUACUUCAGCAGCUCUACGUCGGCCAGCGCCGUUUCACUCCCCCGCUCUGCCCGGUCUUCUCCACACGGCGCUCUGAAGCUCCAAAACGCUGGAUUCGCUUUCAGUGUGAAGACGCCAUGAACCCCGACGUCCCCCGGGACCUUUUGUCCAUCGGUCUCUCCCUCAUUUCCUGUCCCCUCUCUCUCUCUGAUGGAGUAACAACACCAUUAACGAGGAGAUGGACAGGAUGUGAUUGGUUCAGGUAUAAACACGCUGUCUAGAUGACAUAAAGGUUUGUUUUGUUCCUGCUUGUCAUUUCCCCAAUAAACUGAUCAAACUGA